This 520-nucleotide ribosomal RNA is filed under the name uncultured bacterium. RNAcentral's name for it is "partial 16S ribosomal RNA". It matches the Rfam family "Bacterial small subunit ribosomal RNA", at positions 355 to 885 of the family's 1533-position model. The record is from RNAcentral.
UGGGGAAUAUUGCACAAUGGGCGCAAGCCUGAUGCAGCAACGCCGCGUGAGGGAUGACGGCCUUCGGGUUGUAAACCUCUUUUAGCAGGGAAGAAGCGAAAGUGACGGUACCUGCAGAAAAAGCACCGGCUAACUACGUGCCAGCAGCCGCGGUAAUACGUAGGGUGCAAGCGUUGUCCGGAAUUAUUGGGCGUAAAGAGCUCGUAGGCGGUCUGUCGCGUCUGCUGUGAAAUCCCGAGGCUCAACCUCGGGCCUGCAGUGGGUACGGGCAGACUAGAGUGCGGUAGGGGAGAAUGGAACUCCUGGUGUAGCGGUGGAAUGCGCAGAUAUCAGGAAGAACACCGAUGGCGAAGGCAGUUCUCUGGGCCAUAACUGACGCUGAGGAGCGAAAGCGUGGGGAGCGAACAGGAUUAGAUACCCUGGUAGUCCACGCCGUAAACGUUGGGCGCUAGAUGUGGGGACCAUUCCACGGUUUCCGUGUCGCAGCUAACGCAUUAAGCGCCCCGCCUGGGGAGUACGG